GACGAACGCUGGCGGCGUGCUUAACACAUGCAAGUCGAACGGUAAGGCCCUUCGGGGUACACGAGUGGCGAACGGGUGAGUAACGCGUGAGUAACCUGCCCUUCACUCUGGGAUAACAGUUGGAAACGGCUGCUAAUACCGGAUAUUCAGCUCCUGUCGCAUGGUGGGGGUUGGAAAGUUUUGGUGGUGGAGGAUGGGCUCGCGUCCUAUCAGCUUGUUGGUGGGUGAUGGCCUACCAAGGCGUCGACGGGUAGCCGGCCUGAGAGGGCGACCGGCCACAUUGGGACUGAGAUACGGCCCAAACUCCUACGGGAGGCAGCAGUGGGGAAUAUUGCACAAUGGGCGGAAGCCUGAUGCAGCAACGCCGCGUGCGGGAUGACGGCCUUCGGGUUGUAAACCGCUUUCAGCAGGGACGAAGCGCAAGUGACGGUACCUGCAGAAGAAGCACCGGCUAACUACGUG
Molecule: ribosomal RNA, 462 nt
Filed under: uncultured bacterium
Lineage: Bacteria
Description: partial 16S ribosomal RNA
Rfam family: Bacterial small subunit ribosomal RNA
Source: RNAcentral